RNAcentral lists this ribosomal RNA (34 nucleotides) under Eucalyptus frenchiana. RNAcentral's name for it is "partial 18S ribosomal RNA". The record is from RNAcentral. Lineage: Eukaryota; Viridiplantae; Streptophyta; Magnoliopsida; Myrtales; Myrtaceae.
AGGUUUCCGUAGUGAACCUGCGGAAGGAUCAUUG